UCUCAUUUUCUCUCUAAGUUUCCUCGUUCUCUCACCACUCCAUCUUCUUUCUACUAUGCCAUUAUCGGAGCACCGUCGAUGCUAGGCUCCCGACGCCUCUAGCCAAUCAUCAUAGUCGAUCUGUAGUCACGGAAGGGGAAGAAGGACUGUGGCUAUUUGCACCUCGCCUCUGUUCGCAUGAGGCGGCGUUGCCGCUGUUCAAGGCGCACGACGUACCUCAUCAGUUUUGUAGCUCAGAGCACCACUUUGUGCGGUGGCCUCAUCGACGUUUGUGGCUCAAAGCGUCGCUGUGUGUGGCGGUGGAGAUUGAUUAUUUGGUUUAUGGCGUUUCUUUUUCUGAUGAGUUUAUGGUGGUUUUGUGGUGAUGCUGUGAUUGAUGGUUUUGAGUUUGGUGUGUGGUAGAUCGACGGUGGUGAUUACAGUGGUGGUGUGGAUCGAUGGUGGUGUGAUUUACAGUGGUGGUGAUUUUUUGAUCAGUGGUGGUGUGGAUUGGUGGUGGUGUGAUUACAGCGGUGGUGAUUUUGCGUUGAUGUGGUGGUUACUGUUGAGGUGGUUUUGCACAAUCUGGUGAGACGACAGUGGUU
Molecule: long non-coding RNA, 584 nt
Filed under: Olea europaea (common olive)
Lineage: Eukaryota; Viridiplantae; Streptophyta; Magnoliopsida; Lamiales; Oleaceae
Description: long non-coding RNA (OEUR_LNC010644)
Source: RNAcentral